RNAcentral lists this ribosomal RNA (357 nucleotides) under Weinkauffia ukulele. Its description in RNAcentral is "Atys ukulele partial small subunit ribosomal RNA". Lineage: Eukaryota; Metazoa; Mollusca; Gastropoda; Cephalaspidea; Haminoeidae. The record is from RNAcentral.
ACCCCCCUAUUGGCCCUCAAGAUAAGACUAUAAGCAAUAAAACCUACAGGGUUAAAAUUUAAAUAACAUGGCGGCGAGCUCAUAUUUCAAAGGAACCUACCAGGUAAAUGAUAACCCGCAAUAUAUCCUUACUUUAUUUAAAAGUUUUUAUACCGCCGUCUAGUAGCCUUUUAGGAAGAUUACUGAAUGUAUAAUAUACAAGAAGACAGGUCAUGGCAUAGCAUAUGAUAAAGACAUGAGGUGGGUUACACUAAGAGUUUCUUUCGGAAGACCAACUCAAGCUUGUCUUAAGAUGGAUUCGAAAGUAAUAAUUAAUAUAAAUACUUUAUGAAUUUUUGUGAAUUCGUGUACACACCG